Molecule: ribosomal RNA, 1089 nt
Filed under: uncultured organism
Description: bacterial SSU rRNA
Rfam family: Bacterial small subunit ribosomal RNA
Source: RNAcentral
CGAACGAAGCCCUCGGGCUUAGUGGCGGACGGGUGAGUAACGCGUGAGAAUCUACUCCGAGAUGGGGACAACCGUUGGAAACGACGGCUAAUCCCAAUAAGCCGAAAGGUGAAAGGGUUUCCGCUCGCAGAGGAGCUCGCGUCCGAUUAGUUAGUUGGUGGGGUAAGAGCCUACCAAGGCAGCGAUCGGUAGCUGGUCUGAGAGGAUGAGCAGCCACACUGGGACUGAGACACGGCCCAGACUCCUACGGGAGGCAGCAGUGGGGAAUUUUCCGCAAUGGGCGCAAGCCUGACGGAGCAACGCCGCGUGUGGGAAGAAGGCUCUUGGGCUGUCAACCACUUUUCUCAGGGAAGAAGUCCUGACGGUACCUGAGGAAUCAGCCUCGGCUAACUCCGUGCCAGCAGCCGCGGUAAUACGGAGGAGGCAAGCGUUAUCCGGAAUUAUUGGGCGUAAAGCGUCCGCAGGGGGCACUUCAAGUCUGCUGUCAAAGGUCGGAGCUUAACUCCGGUUCGGCAGUGGAAACUGGAGCGCUAGAGGGCGACAGGGGUAGAGGGAAUUCCCAGUGUAGCGGUGAAAUGCGUAGAGAUUGGGAAGAACACCGGUGGCGAAAGCGCUCUACUGGGUCGCACCUGACCCCUCAGGGACGAAAGCUAAGGUAGCGAAAGGGAUUAGAUACCCCUGUAGUCUUAGCCGUAAACGAUGGAUACUAGGCGUGGUUUGUAUCGACCCAAGCCGUGCCGAAGCUAACGCGUUAAGUAUCCCGCCUGGGGAGUACGCACGCAAGUGUGAAACUCAAAGGAAUUGACGGGGGCCCGCACAAGCGGUGGAGGAUGUGGUUUAAUUCGAUGCAACGCGAAGAACCUUACCAGGGCUUGACAUCCCGCGAAUCUUGCUGAAAGGCGAGAGUGCCUUCGGGAGCGCGGAGACAGGUGGUGCAUGGCUGUCGUCAGCUCGUGUCGUGAGAUGUUGGGUUAAGUCCCGCAACGAGCGCAACCAUCGUCAUUAGUUGCCAGCAUUAAGUUGGGCACUCUAGGGAGACUGCCGGUGACANACCGGAGGAAGGUGAGGAUGACGUCAGGUCAGCAUGCC